UUCACUAACCUUUAAUAAAAAUGA
RNAcentral lists this small RNA (24 nucleotides) under Arabidopsis thaliana (thale cress). Its description in RNAcentral is "ATSL287150". The record is from RNAcentral. Lineage: Eukaryota; Viridiplantae; Streptophyta; Magnoliopsida; Brassicales; Brassicaceae.